This 301-nucleotide ribosomal RNA is filed under the name uncultured bacterium. RNAcentral describes it as "partial 16S ribosomal RNA". It matches the Rfam family "Bacterial small subunit ribosomal RNA", at positions 509 to 807 of the family's 1533-position model. The record is from RNAcentral.
CAGUAGCCGCGGUAACACGAAGGGUGCAAGCGUUAAUCGGAAUUACUGGGCGUAAAGCGUGCGUAGGCGGUGAGUUAAGUCUGCUGUGAAAUCCCCGGGCUCAACCUGGGAAUGGCAGUGGAUACUGGCUCGCUAGAGUGUGUCAGAGGAUGGUGGAAUUCCCGGUGUAGCGGUGAAAUGCGUAGAGAUCGGGAGGAACAUCAGUGGCGAAGGCGGCCAUCUGGGACAACACUGACGCUGAGGCACGAAAGCGUGGGGAGCAAACAGGAUUAGAUACCCCGGUAGUCCCUGUCUCUUAUAC